CAUGCAUGUCUAAGUACAUACCGUAUUAAGGUGAAACCGCGAAUGGCUCAUUAAAUCAGUUAUGAUUCAUUGGAUGUUGACCAAUUACAUGGAUAACUGUGGUAAUUCUAGAGCUAAUACAUGCCGAAAAGCCUCAUCGUAAGGUGAGGUGCAUUUAUUAGACCAAGACCAAAGGUGGCAACACCUAAUGGUGGUGACUCUGAAUAACUGCAGCUGAUCGCAUGGCCUUGUGCCGGCGACAUAUCCUUCGAGUGUCUGCCUUAUCAACUUUCGAUGGUAGGUUAUAUGCCUACCAUGGUUGUAACGGGUAACGGAGAAUCAGGGUUCGAUUCCGGAGAGGCAGCCUGAGAGACGGCUACCACAUCCAAGGAAGGCAGCAGGCGCGCAAAUUACCCAAUAUCAGAACGAUGAGGUAGUGACGAAAAAUAACAAUACGGGCUUUGCUUACGCGUUCUCGUAAUUGGAAUGAGUACAGUUUAAAUCCUUUAACGAGGAUCAAUUGGAGGGCAAGUCUGGUGCCAGCAGCCGCGGUAAUUCCAGCUCCAAUAGCGUAUAUUAAAGUUGUUGUGGUUAAAAAGCUCGUAGUUGGAUCUCAGCUCAUGUACAGCGGUCCAUCUUGUCGGUGGUUACUGUUGUACUGAGCAUUAUACCGUAUUGUCCUGUGGUGUUCUUAGCUGAGUGCUGCAGGCGAUCGGUACGUUUACUUUGAAAAAAUUAGAGUGCUCAAAGCAGGCAUUAUCGCCUGAAUACUGUUGCAUGGAAUAAUGGAAUAGGACCUUGGUUCUGUUCUGUUGGUCUUUGGAAUCGAGGUAAUGAUUAACAGGGACGGACGGGGACAUUAGUACUGCGGCGAUAGAGGUGAAAUUCUUGGACCGCCGCAUGACUAACAAAAGCGAAAGCAUUUGUCAAGAAUGUUUUCAUUAAUCAAGAACGAA
RNAcentral lists this ribosomal RNA (935 nucleotides) under Myocoptes musculinus. Its description in RNAcentral is "SSU rRNA". It matches the Rfam family "Eukaryotic small subunit ribosomal RNA", at positions 50 to 987 of the family's 1831-position model. Lineage: Eukaryota; Metazoa; Arthropoda; Arachnida; Sarcoptiformes; Myocoptidae. The record is from RNAcentral.